GCCCGUAUAGCUAAGUGGUUAAGGCGCCACACUUGUACAAUUCUCACCGAAAGUACGCAUGUGGCGAUACCGCAGGUUCAAAUCCUGCUGCGGGCA
This 96-nucleotide transfer RNA is filed under the name Pseudozyma flocculosa. It matches the Rfam family "tRNA". Rfam says of the family: Transfer RNA (tRNA) molecules are approximately 80 nucleotides in length. Their secondary structure includes four short double-helical elements and three loops (D, anti-codon, and T loops). Further hydrogen bonds mediate the characteristic L-shaped molecular structure. tRNAs have two regions of fundamental functional importance: the anti-codon, which is responsible for specific mRNA codon recognition, and the 3' end, to which the tRNAs corresponding amino acid is attached (by aminoacyl-tRNA synthetases). tRNAs cope with the degeneracy of the genetic code in two manners: having more than one tRNA (with a specific anti-codon) for a particular amino acid; and 'wobble' base-pairing, i.e. permitting non-standard base-pairing at the 3rd anti-codon position. Lineage: Eukaryota; Fungi; Basidiomycota; Ustilaginomycetes; Ustilaginales; Ustilaginaceae. The record is from Rfam by way of RNAcentral. RNAcentral also lists the same sequence under 1 other name.